AUUCCUACGGGAGGCAGCAGUGGGGAAUAUUGCGCAAUGGGCGCAAGCCUGAUGCAGCCAUGCCGCGUGUAUGAAGAAGGCCUUCGGGUUGUAAAGUACUUUCAGCGGGGAGGAAGGGAGUAAAGUUAAUACCUUUGCUCAUUGACGUUACCCGCAGAAGAAGCACCGGCUAACUCCGUGCCAGCAGCCGCGGUAAUAAU
This 200-nucleotide ribosomal RNA is filed under the name uncultured bacterium. RNAcentral's name for it is "partial 16S ribosomal RNA". It matches the Rfam family "Bacterial small subunit ribosomal RNA", at positions 335 to 526 of the family's 1533-position model. The record is from RNAcentral.